Molecule: ribosomal RNA, 372 nt
Filed under: uncultured organism
Description: partial 16S ribosomal RNA
Rfam family: Bacterial small subunit ribosomal RNA
Source: RNAcentral
GUAGGUGGCAAGCGUUGUCCGGAAUUAUUGGGCGUAAAGCGCGCGCAGGGCGGUCCUUUAAGUCUGAUGUGAAAGCCCACGGCUCAACCGUGGAGGGUCAUUGGAAACUGGGGGACUUGAGUACAGAAGAGGAAAGCGGAAUUCCAAGUGUAGCGGUGAAAUGCGUAGAGAUUUGGAGGAACACCAGUGGCGAAGGCGGCUUUCUGGUCUGUAACUGACGCUGAGGCGCGAAAGCGUGGGGAGCAAACAGGAUUAGAUACCCUGGUAGUCCACGCCGUAAACGAUGAGUGCUAAGUGUUAGGGGGUUUCCGCCCCUUAGUGCUGCAGCUAACGCAUUAAGCACUCCGCCUGGGGAGUACGGCCGCAAGGCUG